Molecule: long non-coding RNA, 381 nt
Organism: Rhopalosiphum maidis (corn leaf aphid)
Lineage: Eukaryota; Metazoa; Arthropoda; Insecta; Hemiptera; Aphididae
Exons: 3
Source: RefSeq, a predicted model, not a curated record
CGUUUUAUUACGAACGAACGUCGUUUUCAAUACCGAAAUCAAUAACAAGCGAUUACAUCAAAUUAACGAAUACAAUUUAAUUUGCAGACUUUAUAUGCGUCGUGGAUAAUCCAUGAAUUAGAUUCCAAUGUUAACACGGCUGCAUGAGAAGUAUACACACACAUAUGCCGUCAACACACUCGAUCGGACUGGCGGCCACACGGAAAAAUGAACAAAAAAUCAGUGUCGAAGGUAUUAUUUUACAUUUACAUGCAUACGUAUACAACUACUACUCCACACGUUACACUACAUUUUACUGUACAAUGGGAUACUGAACUCAAUAGAUUACGAGUUUGUAUGUUAUAACUUAUGACUUUUAUACAAUUAAAAUUUAUUUUUUCA